This 629-nucleotide ribosomal RNA is filed under the name Porites porites. RNAcentral describes it as "partial 18S ribosomal RNA". The stretch from base 210 to 363 matches the Rfam family "5.8S ribosomal RNA". Lineage: Eukaryota; Metazoa; Cnidaria; Anthozoa; Scleractinia; Poritidae. The record is from RNAcentral.
CCGAUGAAUGUGUGAUCAUUAAUUGACCAGUGUGAACUGUCCAACAAAUCUUUAGGGGUCGGCACAGGUAGAAGUGGUCGUUAAAUGGUGGAUAUUCCUUCCAGCAGCCCCGCCAUUGUGUGUUACUAUGCAUAUUGAACGUAAAAGACUGAGAGAACGUAUCUUCAUGAUCACCAUGAAAGGAAAAACUUUUAAAGAAAGAGACAAACAACUUUUGACGGUGGAUCUCUUGGCUCACGUAUCGAUGAAGAACGCAGCCAGCUGCGAUAUGUAGUGUGAAUUGCAGAAUUCAGUGAAUCAUUGAAUCUUUGAACGCAAAUGGCGCUCUUGGGUUCUCCCAGGAGCAUGUCUGUCUGAGUGUCGGAUUUUAUCGAACGCACACUCACGAGUGAGUGUGCGGUAUUGAGGUGUCACGGCGUGAAGAAUCAGUGUAUUAAUGAUCGCCGUGUCCCUUGAGGAGCAGCAGCAGCAGCAGCAUUCUCUAUUGAAACUUGAGUGCGAAGGCUAAAGAUAUUGCUAUUUUCCUUCGCUGCAGGUUGGUUUAGGGUUGUUGGGUUGCUGAAAAAGAGAAAGAAACAAAUGCAAUCAAUCUUGACCUCAGAUCAGGCAAGGCUACCCGCUGAAUUUAA